Molecule: long non-coding RNA, 439 nt
Filed under: Physcomitrium patens
Lineage: Eukaryota; Viridiplantae; Streptophyta; Bryopsida; Funariales; Funariaceae
Description: long non-coding RNA (PPAT_LNC007709)
Source: RNAcentral
UAUUGAAGCCAUUGGGGUAAACUUAUGCAUGGGUCCAUCGGAAAAGGUUGAGAUGUCAAAGCUGGGAUACGAGAUAUUUUCAACCAUUCUCUUAACUGGAUUGUUCAUAACCGGAGAGUUUGAAAUUGGCACAACAUUCUUCGCCCAGGUGCCGUCUCGUCACAAUUCAUCCAGAACGCGUAAAACUCAAUGCAAAGAAGGAAGUUGAAAAUGCGUCCUCGGUGCCUUUCAAGGAAAAAAACCACGAUUUUCCAAAAGACCACCCUCUAACCAAUUCAUUCAUCAAUCCCUCUACGCACUUUAUCCUAAACAAAAUAUGAUAUUUUGUUUAGGAUUAAGAGUAGACAAACUGGGAAUAUUUUGAUAAAGAAAAAAUCAAUAUUAAAUCCUUGUAAAUAUUUUUUGGCUUGCACACAGAAACAAAAGUAUCAUGUACAUU